CCUACGGGGGGCUGCAGUGAGGAAUAUUGGUCAAUGGACGAGAGUCUGAACCAGCCAAGUAGCGUGAAGGAUGACUGCCCUAUGGGUUGUAAACUUCUUUUAUAGGGGAAUAAAACGUUCCACGUGGGGGAUUUUGUAUGGACCAUAUGAAUAAGGAUCGGCUAACUCCGUGCCAGCAGCCGCGGUAAUACGGAGGAUCCGAGCGUUAUGCGGAUUUAUUGGGGUUAAAGGGAGCGUAGGGGGAUUGUUAAGUCAGUUGUGAAAGUUUGCGGCUCAACCGGAAAAUUGCAGUUGAAACUGGCAGUCUUGAGUACAGUAGCGUUGGUCGGACUUCGUGGUGUAGCGG
This 346-nucleotide ribosomal RNA is filed under the name uncultured bacterium. Its description in RNAcentral is "partial 16S ribosomal RNA". It matches the Rfam family "Bacterial small subunit ribosomal RNA", at positions 338 to 681 of the family's 1533-position model. The record is from RNAcentral.